CCAUCUCAGAUGUUUGAGAUGGCUUUGGAAUCAGACUAAUGCGUUCAAUAAAGAACUGUCCUGCACUGAAGUGUUUAUGACUUUAGUAACUACAAACUGAUUCCAAUGACAUUGAGCUAAUUUCAUUUGAGCUAAUGAAUGUAUCUGCUCACCUUGUUCCCUUCUCAUUGAUAAGCUCCAAGUAGUAGCUACUUUUUUGGGUCAACUUUUACUGAGUUUUAUUCACUUCUUUUACCUAGUCUUUUAAUUAACAUACUGCAAAUAUUUCAUUAACAAGUGCUUUAGCUACCAUUCUGCCAUUUAAAUUUUUUAAUUUAAUUUUAUUUUGCUUGAGCACACUGGUCAACCACUGAACUGCCUUCUUCCAUUGUCCUGCAAUCAUAUAAGGAUUACAUUUUUGUGUAUAUGGCUUUCAUAGUUGGGAUUUCAGAGCACUGACACCAGAUAUUUUCAGUUUGUUCUGUGGGGGAAUUUCAUUUGCAUCUAUGUUUUUAGCUAUCUGUGAUAACUUGUUAAAUAUUAAAAAGAUAUUUUGCUUCUAUUGGAACAUUUGUAUACUCGCAACUAUAUUUCUGUAAACAGCUGCAGUCAAAAAUAAAACAUUGAAAGUUUUCA
Molecule: RNA transcript, 615 nt
Organism: Odobenus rosmarus divergens (Pacific walrus)
Lineage: Eukaryota; Metazoa; Chordata; Mammalia; Carnivora; Odobenidae
Exons: 2
Source: RefSeq, a predicted model, not a curated record